GUUAGGUUUUCUGCUCGUCAAUCA
This 24-nucleotide non-coding RNA is filed under the name Arabidopsis thaliana (thale cress). Lineage: Eukaryota; Viridiplantae; Streptophyta; Magnoliopsida; Brassicales; Brassicaceae. The record is from RNAcentral.